Molecule: ribosomal RNA, 496 nt
Filed under: uncultured bacterium
Lineage: Bacteria
Description: partial 16S ribosomal RNA
Rfam family: Bacterial small subunit ribosomal RNA
Source: RNAcentral
GAUGAACGCUGGCGGCGUGCCUAAUACAUGCAAGUCGAGCGGACAGACGAUGCGCUUGCUCCUCUGACGUUAGCCGCGGACGGGUGUGUAACACGUGUAUAACCUACCUAUAAGACUGGGAUAACUUCGGGAAACCGGAGCUAAUCCCGUAUAAUAUCUUGAACCGCAUGGUUCAAUAGUGAAAUUCGGUGUUGCUGUCUCUUCUCGCUGGAUCCGCGCCGCAUUAGCUAGUUGGUAGGUAACGGCUUAUCAAGGCAACGAUGCGUAGCCGACGUGAGUGGCUGAUCGGCCACACUGGAACGGAGACACGGACCAGAGGCCUACGGGAGGCAGCAGUAGGCAAUCGGCCGCAAUAGGCGAAAGCCUGGCGGAGCAACGCCGCGUGUGAGAUGAAGGUGUUCGGAUCGUAAAACUCUGUUAUGAGGGAAGAACAACUGUGGAAGGAAAUAUGCACGUCUUGACGGUAACUGAUCAGAAAGCAACGGCUAACUACGUG